GCCAAGCCACCCGCGGCGAAGAUGCACGCGACUUCCUAAACCGCGUGCGCUGGUUCGAUUCCGGCCGGGGGCA
RNAcentral lists this transfer RNA (73 nucleotides) under Actinomycetota bacterium. Its description in RNAcentral is "tRNA-OTHER". The record is from RNAcentral. Lineage: Bacteria; Bacillati; Actinomycetota.